UUCAAACUGAUGGAGUUUGUGGAGAAGGUCUUUCUUCAUUGUCAAGUGUCCCUGCUAAACAUCACAGAAGUGAUCACAGAACUCAAUCCUCAGCUACAACCAACACAUGUGAGCUCAAUUUACAGUAUCCUUAAUUCAGAAUGCUUUGAAGAAUUCAGGUAUGUGUGGUUAUAGGUUGAGAGUAUCAAAGCUGCUAAUUUGUGGACGUACAAGGUCUACUAA
Molecule: long non-coding RNA, 222 nt
Organism: Stylophora pistillata
Lineage: Eukaryota; Metazoa; Cnidaria; Anthozoa; Scleractinia; Pocilloporidae
Source: RefSeq, a predicted model, not a curated record